UUUGGUUCUUCUCUUUCUUACUCCUUUAAUAAGAAGCUCUAAUAAAUGACUUUUUAAAACUUUAAGAAAAUUCAAUGUGAUUGUCUUCUCAGAAAAUGGAAAUAAGAGGUAGAAACUAAACACUCUCUAGAGAAAUAGCUUCCUAUUCAUCUUUAAACAUUAUAGCAGACCUUAUCUGAAUACACUCAGAACAAACUUCAGUCCCAGAAUGGCAUCACAUAUUGCUUUAUCAAGUUUGUUGAAUGACUUCAAGUAGAAAAGUGCCGAAGGAGAAAUUAAGACAUUAGAAGUCCACGGUUUCCAAGCAAAUCUUUAAAUCCUUAUUAAUUGUUCACAGUAGUCCAAAAUCCUUGUCACAAAUGACUAAAGUUUAUUGAAGUGUCAUUUUAGAAGCUUUUUUUUUGGUAUGGGGGAUCGAACUCGGCAAGGCAGGCGGCAGAACCACUGAGCUAAAUAAAUCCCCAGCCCUUGAAGUGUCAUUUUAAAAAAAGACUAACUCCAAGUUGAUGUCUGGUUAAGUUUCCGACUUAGGAACAUUCGAGUUGCAAACUUUCACAGAUACAAGCAGACCUAGCAUUAUGAACAUUCACAGAUGUGAACAUUCAUAGAUGGGAACAAAUUGUGAAAGUAGCUCAAGUGUUUUCUAGACACUGUCACAGUUGUGCUGCUGUGUACAGUGUGGUAGUGUACAGUAAGUAGUACAGUGCUCAAUCAGAGCCCAGGAUGUCUGGAAGCAAGAGGAAAAGCAGUAGCGAUGAGGACGGGACUGCUAGGAAAUGCAAAGCAAUAAACAUGGAAACAAAUUGCAAGUAUAGUAGUAUAAGACUCACUUUGUCAGACUUGAAAACAAAUCCAACUUAUGAAUGUUUUCCUGAAGUGGAACUCAUUCAUAAGUCAGGGACUUACUAUAUCCUGAAAGGACUCUCUUUAAAGGGACACUUAAAUCACAUGCUUAAUUUUUUUAUAGUGGUAUAAAAACAUCAUAUAAUCUUGAUGAAGUUUAAAGAGCUACUGAUUAGAAAUUUUAAUAUUGCCUGUAUCUGUAAAACAUGAAAUUCUUUCUUAGUGGUGCCAAGUGAGCUACUUUACUCCCUCUUAUUUGGUGGUAGACUGGUACUAAGGCCUUUGCCCUGAAAUACAUCCCCCAGCCUUUGAUUUUUUAAAGACAGGGUAUUGCUAAGUUGCCCAGGAUACGCUUGAACUCAUGAUCCUCCUGCCUUGGACUCCCAAGGUGCUGUACUCCCAGGUGUGCACUACCAUCCCCAGUUUCUCUUCUCUUUACUGUAAAAAUAUAUUAGAACAAAAAUUACCCCAAAAUUGCAGAUGCUAUGUGAAUUACAAAGCUACUGGCAGCAGUAUGAUAUACAUACCUAUUCUAACAAAAAGUACCCAAUGGGCAAUGAAGGUUAUAACUAUUGUGGUACAGGGAACUGAACUCAGGG
Molecule: long non-coding RNA, 1442 nt
Organism: Heterocephalus glaber (naked mole-rat)
Lineage: Eukaryota; Metazoa; Chordata; Mammalia; Rodentia; Bathyergidae
Source: Ensembl